GCGUGGGAAUAUACCCUUUGGUACGGAAUAGCCUCUGGAAACGGAGAGUAAUACCGUAUGAGCCCUUCGGGGGAAAGAUUUAUCGCCAAAGGAUUAGCCCGCGUUAGAUUAGGUAGUUGGUGGGGUAAUGGCCUACCAAGCCUACGAUCUAUAGCUGGUUUUAGAGGAUGAUCAGCAACACUGGGACUGAGACACGGCCCAGACUCCUACGGGAGGCAGCAGUGGGGAAUCUUGGACAAUGGGGGCAACCCUGAUCCAGCCAUGCCGCGUGAGUGAUGAAGGCCUUAGGGUCGUAAAGCU
This 300-nucleotide ribosomal RNA is filed under the name uncultured Paracoccaceae bacterium. Its description in RNAcentral is "bacterial SSU rRNA". It matches the Rfam family "Bacterial small subunit ribosomal RNA", at positions 115 to 432 of the family's 1533-position model. The record is from RNAcentral. Lineage: Bacteria; Pseudomonadati; Pseudomonadota; Alphaproteobacteria; Rhodobacterales; Paracoccaceae.